GAUAUGCUUAUAAUGCUUCUUGGGACUUAUGAAUUGAGGUUUUGUGUUGAUAGGUAAAUGCUGAAUCAUUUCCCUAUUACAAGUUAUUGGAUGACUAAAGGGCUGCUACGUUUCGAAUUUCUUGAUCCCCUGUUGUAGAAUUGAGCCAAAUACUUCCAUUUUCUUCUUUUCCAGUGCUAUUCCAAUCUCAACUCCAUUACUGCCGUCUCUGGACUCUGAGAAUGCGAUUGAACCACCUGUUUCUAUGUGCACUAUCUCCAUUUUGCAGGGCUUUCCUAACCCAAAAUCCAUAUCAUACAGUCCCAAUUUCGGAGCUCCUGCUAUUGAGGUUGGAAAACGGGACAUGACCCAUUUACGUACUCCUUGUCCCCAUGUUGGUGCUGUUUUCAGUAGAUCGCUUGAUAACAUAUCUUUGAUUCUCGCUGUGAUUGCGUCUGAAGCAGCCAAAACGCAUUUCUCUCCUAACAAAUCUCGUUUCUUGACAGAUACGAUCCCAGGAGCCAUGCAGUUGCCAAAGUAUGUUUGUGGUAUUGGUUGUGUGUACUUGAGACGAUUCCUGCAAUCCACAUUGAUCAUCAAGUGAAAGACUUCGUCUUUGUCUUCCUCCUCAGCCUCUGUUUCACUGUCUUGAACAAUUGUCUUCAUCAAGCUUACCCAAAUGAGAGCUAGAGUUACCACGAAGGUAGAAACAGGAGAUUGAUUCUCAGACUGCUCUUUAACCCAGCUCUUGAGAUUGUCUAUCUGAUUCCGGCUCAUUGUAAAAGUAGCUCUAACCAUGUUCUCAGGCGUAACAUGUGAACUGUUUUUUCCAGAGUUUUGGCUCCAAAACCGCUCCAAAUGUCCUGCGCCUACCUCUCCUGGGUCCUUGAUCAUGUUUCUGCAGCUGUGAAUAGGCAGAGGGGGUAGAAGAACCGU
Molecule: long non-coding RNA, 915 nt
Filed under: Arabidopsis lyrata
Lineage: Eukaryota; Viridiplantae; Streptophyta; Magnoliopsida; Brassicales; Brassicaceae
Description: long non-coding RNA (ALYR_LNC002949)
Source: RNAcentral